This 244-nucleotide long non-coding RNA is filed under the name Bos taurus (domestic cattle). RNAcentral describes it as "long non-coding RNA NONBTAT014834". Lineage: Eukaryota; Metazoa; Chordata; Mammalia; Artiodactyla; Bovidae. The record is from RNAcentral.
CUGCCGGGCCCGUGCAUCCAGGGAGGAGCCGGUCAGAAGGGCGUCCAGUGUGAGGACCUAGGACCGACGCCCCCUGCCCCCAGCUGCCCCCUGGGUCUGUAUUUCCUUGCGUCCCUUGUAAAUUAGAGGAGCCUGGGGACUGAGGGCCUCAGGAGAGGCCCUGCCAACUCCUCACCUGUCAGUGGGACCCGCAGCCCCCUCCCCAGGGAAGGCUGUGUGGAGACCCCGCUGGGGGCGGUGGGGG